RNAcentral lists this ribosomal RNA (492 nucleotides) under uncultured bacterium. Its description in RNAcentral is "partial 16S ribosomal RNA". It matches the Rfam family "Bacterial small subunit ribosomal RNA", at positions 29 to 507 of the family's 1533-position model. The record is from RNAcentral.
AGUGAACGCUGGCGGUAGGCCUAACACAUGCAAGUCGAACGGCAGCACAGUAAGAGCUUGCUCUUACGGGUGGCGAGUGGCGGACGGGUGAGGAAUACAUCGGAAUCUACUUUUUCGUGGGGGAUAACGUAGGGAAACUUACGCUAAUACCGCAUACGACCUACGGGUGAAAGCAGGGGAUCUUCGGACCUUUCGCGAUUGAAUGAGCCGAUGUCGGAUUAGCUAGUUGGCGGGGUAAAGGCCCACCAAGGCGACGAUCCGUAGCUGGUCUGAGAGGAUGAUCAGCCACACUGGAACUGAGACACGGUCCAGACUCCUACGGGAGGCAGCAGUGGGGAAUAUUGGACAAUGGGCGCAAGCCUGAUCCAGCCAUACCGCGUGGGUGAAGAAGGCCUUCGGGUUGUAAAGCCCUUUUGUUGGGAAAGAAAAGCAGCAGAUUAAUACCCCGCUGUUCUGACGGUACCCAAAGAAUAAGCACCGGCUAACUUCGUG